Long non-coding RNA from Gallus gallus (chicken), 4521 nucleotides. Lineage: Eukaryota; Metazoa; Chordata; Aves; Galliformes; Phasianidae. The record is from Ensembl.
AGACUCUCAGGGCCUGUGGCUGCAGGUACAUCACUCACUGAACACCUUCCCAGCUAUGCAGCUAAGGGGCGAAGGCCGAUGUUCUGCUUAAAAUCACAAGCCUACCAGCACUUCUUCUGCAGCAGAUACUUCUAUUCUCGAAGAGCUCGUGAAAAUAUGAAGAUGACUAGGGGAAGAGAUCCCAUACAUUUUGGAUGAAGAACACACUGAAGAGUUAAUACAAGAGUCGUGUGGCGUAAGAGACGCCACACUGGACACAGCAAGAUCUUUCAUACAUGGUCAGAGCUCAUAGCCAACCAGAAGAUAAGUAUAUGCUGGUUUCAGUAGUUCAAGUGCUCAAAAAUUAAAUAUUUAGAAAGCACAGUAAUAGAUUCUGUAGAAGAAUUGGGUAAAUCUAAGUAACUACCUGCCCUCCCAUGUCCUCUUGAGAUCCACAUGAUGUGGAGUCCAUUACUUGGGAGCCUCUCUGGCCCAGUCAGGUCAUCAGGCUGGCAGCACUUCCCAUUUGCCUCUGAGCAGUUUUACUCUUUGGCAGCCAAUACCCAGUCACAGAGAUAUUCCUUACAGUGAAAGCAAAUCAUCAUCUUUUUUCCUCAACUUUCCUCAAUAGAUCACUUUUAAAAAAAAGACAAGCUUGUAUAUACAGAAUUUUUAAUUUAUCACUGGUGACAAUUUGUUGCCCUUCAUGACAGUCUCUUAACACAUAAUAGUUGGACAUUUCCUUUCAUCAAGAAAGAAAAAUGACCAUAAAUGGUUCUGUUUCUUUAAAACUACUGUGGUAUUUGACUGUUGCAUUUCACAGGCACGAGGAAGCACAUUUGAAACAAAAAUAAUAAUAUACUCUGGUGGAAUAUUUCCAUGUCUGUGUGUUUAAAGUCUGUGACAUGAACUCAGUGAUCUGCAAGACCUUGUCCAGGAGAUCACAGAUUCACCACUACUUUACAGUUUGACACCACUGUUCUUUCUCAACUGCUAAAAUGCAGCAGUCCCUGUCUGGGGUAUUAUUUAGAGUACUCUAAAUCAAGAACUAAUCUGUGCAACAAGAAAUGUCACCACAAUUUGUUUUAUUUGGAAUGAUCAUAAGGCCAAAAGAUAAAAUUUCUACAUAGGUGCAUAUAUCAUAUUUUAGAAAUAGGCCUUUGAGUGCAUUAUGGAAAUAUGUGGUUGGUACCCACAGGAGAAGGAACUUAAUAAUUAAAAAGAAGCUUAGCUGAAAACAUGGAAAUCCUUUAAUUAACUUGUAUGAUAUAAUGUACCUCUUAGCUGCCUUUCAACUCUUCAGCUGGAAUUAGGUGCAGAAUCUGGCAGGUAACGGGGGACUCUGCCAAUGUUUUAAGUCCCCUUUGUGAGGGAGAUCAAAAGUAAAAAAGAUUGCAAUUAAGAUAUCAUGAUGUGUUCUGAAGAUAUGUGAGAGUGUCUUCAGAACAACAGUUUUGCAGAGCUGCCAGGUGCCUUUGUUCCUAGGUGUUUAUGAUCAUCAUUGUUGUUCCAUCAUCACAAUAGGGUGAAUGCUAUAGAUAAGAUCGCAAGUAUAUAAGGUAUUGCUAUUUAUAUGCACAUCGUGUUGUCUUAUUACAGGUGCAUGCAACUUCUUACUAAGCCAGGGGAAAAGAAAAGCCAGCAUUACUCCUUAGUCCUAUUAAUUAGAAUUAGAGAAUGAAUUAGUUAUAUUUAUUAAAGUCCAAACUUCUGCAAGAAGGCUUUUUGUUGGUGUGCUUAAUCUGAACAUAAUUAAUGGAACAGUAUAUUAAGCAAAUUAAUAUUUGGAGAUAAUUUUAUAAUUUUCAGUACAUAUUUCAAGCAAACUCUUUCAAUUCUCAUCAUCAUCAACAGUGCGAUGUCCUUGGCUGAAGCAAGGAAACAGCUGUUCAGUGUACUUUAUUUUAGAAUUAAUGACUAACUUUUACCGCCCUACUCUUUUUCCCAGAGGUGGAAUAACCCUUUCCCUAGAAUUUUUCAGUGUUUAUCUUAUUGCUUAGGAUAGUUAAAGGGAAAAUGCCUUUUUCGCUUGUGAGCUGGCUCAAGAACACAGUCAGCUGGCCAGGUUGGUUCAAGCCAGACUAUAUUUCAUGCAACAAAAUCUACGAGACCAAAAUCAAUGUUUAAGAAUUGCUAUUAAUAUCUAUCGUUCAUUCAUGCCUUUAUUAAUUACUUCUCUCUCUUCAAUACAUUUAAAGGAAAUCACCACAUUUGAAUAUACUUCCCUGCUCCCCUCUCCUCUGUUUGCCAUAACUCUGCAACUUUGCAGCCUCGGCAGCAGGGCGAGGACAGGAAUCCUGCCAAGGAGCAUUGGGAUAAUUGGAGAUGCUGAACAGGAGAAGGAAGGUUGCACCAUGACCAAGUCAUACCGCUCCCUCCUUUCCUUCUGUCCUUCAUUGCUCAGUAUAGUCUUCUGCUUGCUGGUUUAUAAAGGAGAGGAUCUGCUCAUGAAAAAAUUUUCAUGUGGAAAGCUACACCAAGCAAUUUCUUGAGACUCAGACUGCAUUUCAUUUACAGAAAUGCCAAGGUUGCUAUUGCAUCAAUACUUCUCAGUAGUACACUUUAUUAGGCCCCACCUGUGAAGUGGAAAGGAAUAAGAUUAUUGAAGAAAGCUUGCUUUUACUUGACAGGUUUUCAAGUAACAGAUCUAAUUAUCAUGCCAUAAACUGACAAUUUCAUGGGAUAAUCCUCUGAUAAAUACUGUGUUAGAGCCAACACAUUUUCUCAUUAAGGCAAUUGGAACGGAAAAAGUAUUUUCCUUGCCAUGGGCACAUUAGAACAUGGUCAGGCAGGAGCUAUGAAAAAAACAGGUGGCAACUUUAUUAUAGUUACAGAUAACAUGUUCAACUUCAGACAUGGAACCGGAGAACAAUUCCUGCAGGCAGCUACCAUCCAUGGCUUUCUGCAACAGCGUCACUUUAGCAGGGCCACAUGACAAUAUGGUUUUGUUGGUGCUAUGUGUUUUUAUCUAUGUACGUACCCAAUAUUUUAUAAUUUGAACCUUUUUGGUUUCAACCUUACUUGAAAUGAAUAAAUGUUUUUCAGAUACUUCUAUUCCUGAAGAGCUCGUGAAAACAUGAAGAUGACUAGGGGAAGAGAUCCCAUACAUUUUGGAUGAAGAACACACUGAAGAGUUAAUGCAAGAGUUGUAUGGCGUAAGAGACUCCACACUGGACACAGCAAGAUCUUUCAUACAUGGUCAGGGCUCAUAGCCAACCAGAAGAUAAGAAUCUGCCAUCUACUAAAGCUUUUACUUUGUCAAUGUCAAGAAAUAAAAAAAGUAUACACAUAGAGGAGACAGAUACUGAUAGAAAAAGGGAAAUAUUCUGGGUGAUACAACCUUAGAACUGCAGGAGGCCAUAACAUAGGAGACUAAAAGUUUUGCCACAGACUUCCUGAGGUGAUAUAGUCCGAAUCUUCUUCAAUGCUGAUUCCAUCACCCGCUGGUAUUUGUAUAAUAUGGAACUUUUCAAACGAAACAUUAGCAAUGUUUUAAAGGACUAUGUGUGAAUGUAGUCUCCUCUCUUGUUAUUGCUGUCCAGUUGAGCUGCUUCUGUUGAAGAAGCUCAAGAAGGACCUGUCCAUACAGGUUUUCACCUGAAGGUGUAGGCUGUUGAGCAGGACUGUGCUGUGAAAUACUAAUAAACUGUAUAUAUUUAAAAUUGUGGUACUAUUCUAGUUCUGAAGUAUCUUUGACCCUCAAUCUGUUCACACCACUUUUGGAUGCAUCACUUGUGGUUUCUCUGUGAAACAAUAUACUUGUCUGUGAAUUGGUAUUAUUAAUAUGUAACUCACACUGGUAUGUUAGUUCAAUUAUAUUAUUGUUGGUGAGCAAAGAUUUAUUGGGCAAUUUGAGAAAGCAUCCUUUUUAACCACAUAGCACUCAUAUAAGCCAGUUUUUAUAUUCAGAGCCAUGUCCCAUCAGGACAAGAAUGUGAAAAUGAAUUCACAUGUCAUGCUGUUGGUAUGGUUCAAAUGAGGAGUGUUCUGACAUCUCACAUAGCCAGCUGGAUAACUGCAAGGUGCAGGUGUUUCCAAGAAUACCUGGCAUGGCUUAUGAACACUGGACUAUUUAGCCUCAGGCUUCCUGACCAAAAUACUCUCCUAACACUGUGUCAAGAUGAGAAGCACAUCAACUCAUAGAAUAAUUCUUAAAUGUUACUAUGUCAGACAGCGGCAACUUCUUGAAGAACCUACUGAUAACUAUAGGGGAGAAAGAAAAAUCCCAAGAGAAGGUGACUGUAUAUAAGCAUGUCAAGUGUCAAUCUUAUAUACAUAAGACAUUCCUUUGGAUCGUUUCUCUACAGUAAGUUGGCAGUGCUUCUGGACUGAGAACUGUGUUUUCCUGUUGCUAGCAGUUGCCAUGAAUUUACUGGAAGCACUGACUCAUGCUUAAUUAGUGGUGCCUUGGCUUAUUUUUAUACUGUUUUUAUGUAUUUGGAGUAUAUGCUAUUUUUAAGGCACAUAUUGUUCUUCUAAAUAUGUCAUUGUAAUACGGCAUAAUGAUUUUUACGAUAUUGAAAUUCAAAGAAAAUAUCUUUU